This 855-nucleotide ribosomal RNA is filed under the name uncultured organism. Its description in RNAcentral is "bacterial SSU rRNA". It matches the Rfam family "Bacterial small subunit ribosomal RNA", at positions 8 to 872 of the family's 1533-position model. The record is from RNAcentral.
AGAGUUUGAUCCUGGCUCAGGAUGAACGUUGGCAGUGUGCCUAAGACAUGCAAGUCGAACGAAGCGCUAGUGCGGAACUCUUCGGAGGGAAGGAUUAGUGACUGAGUGGCAAACGGGUGAGUAACACGUGGAUGACCUACCCUGAAGUGGGGGAUAACCUUGGGAAACCAGGACUAAUCCCGCAUGUGCUUGUUGGUUGUGACCAAUAAGGAAAGAUUUAUUGCUUUAGGAUGGGUCCGCGGGCCAUCAGCUAGUUGGUGAGGUAAAGGCUCACCAAGGCAACGACGGCUAGCCGGCCUGAGAGGGUGAACGGCCACAGGGGUACUGAGACACGGACCCCACUCCUACGGGAGGCAGCAGUUAGGAACCUUCCGCAAUGGGCGCAAGCCUGAUGGAGCGACACUGCGUGAGGGAAGAAGGCUUUCGGGUUGUAAACCUCUAAAAGUAGGACGAUAAUGACGGUACUACUUGAGAAGCACCGGCUAACUCCGUGCCAGCAGCCGCGGUAAUACGGAGGGUGCAAACGUUAUCCGGAAUCACUGGGCGUAAAGGGCACGCAGGCGGUUAGUUAAGUCCGAUGUUAAAGCGUGGGGCUCAACCCCAUACGGGCGUUGGAUACUGGCUAACUAGACUCUUGGAGAGGUAAGUAGAAUUACCAGUGUAGCGGUGGAAUGCGUAGAUACUGGUAGGAAUACCAAUAGCGAAGGCAGCUUACUAGACAAUGAGUGACGCUGAGGUGCGAAAGUGUGGGGAGCAAACCGGAUUAGAUACCCGGGUAGUCCACACCCUAAACGAUGCAUACUUGGUGUUGGUGCGCAGGCAUCAGCGCCGGAGCAAACGCGUUAAGUAUGCCGC